AACAAACGCUGGCGGCGUGCCUAAUACAUGCAAGUCGAACGGGGAGAGUAGCAAUAUGAGUACUAGUGGCGCACGGGUGAGUAACGCGUGGAUAAUCUGCCUUGAAGAGGGGGAUAACUAGUCGAAAGAUUAGCUAAUACCGCAUAAGACCACAAGAACUGAGGUUCAAGGGGUCAAAGGUUUUUCGCUUCAAGAUGAGUCCGCGUAAGAUUAGCUAGUUGGUGAGGUAAUGGCUCACCAAGGCAACGAUCUUUAACUGGUCUGAGAGGAUGAUCAGUCACACUGGAACUGAGACACGGUCCAGACUCCUACGGGAGGCAGCAGUAGGGAAUAUUGCACAAUGGAGGAAACUCUGAUGCAGCGACGCCGCGUGAGUGAUGAAGGCCUUCGGGUCGUAAAGCUCUGUCGCAGGGGAAUAACACAAUGAAUGUACCCUGUAAGAAAGGAUCGGCUAACUUCGUG
This 462-nucleotide ribosomal RNA is filed under the name uncultured bacterium. RNAcentral's name for it is "partial 16S ribosomal RNA". It matches the Rfam family "Bacterial small subunit ribosomal RNA", at positions 29 to 507 of the family's 1533-position model. The record is from RNAcentral.